This 502-nucleotide ribosomal RNA is filed under the name uncultured bacterium. RNAcentral describes it as "bacterial SSU rRNA". It matches the Rfam family "Bacterial small subunit ribosomal RNA", at positions 28 to 517 of the family's 1533-position model. The record is from RNAcentral.
GAUGAACGCUAGCUACAGGCUUAACACAUGCAAGUCGAGGGGAAACGACAUCGAAAGCUUGCUUUCGAUGGGUGUCGACCGGCGCACGGGUGAGUAACGCGUAUCCAACCUGCCCACCACUUGGGGAUAACCUUGCGAAAGUAAGACUAAUACCCAAUGACGUCUCUAGAAGACAUCUGAAGGAGAUUAAAGAUUUAUCGGUGAUGGAUGGGGAUGCGUCUGAUUAGCUUGUUGGCGGGGUAACGGCCCACCAAGGCGACGAUCAGUAGGGGUUCUGAGAGGAAGGUCCCCCACAUUGGAACUGAGACACGGUCCAAACUCCUACGGGAGGCAGCAGUGAGGAAUAUUGGUCAAUGGACGAGAGUCUGAACCAGCCAAGUAGCGUGCAGGAUGACGGCCCUAUGGGUUGUAAACUGCUUUUAUAAGGGAAUAAAGUGAGCCUCGUGAGGCUUUUUGCAUGUACCUUAUGAAUAAGGACCGGCUAAUUCCGUGCCAGCAGCCG